UGCCCAGCAACUCCUAUCCGUACCUCCUCAUGGUACUGGCCGGAGUACGAGUAAUCUUAGGAUGAUCGGGUAACCAACUCAGGUGGGUAACCAACUUAGGUCGCAUGCUGACAGGGAAGG
Molecule: ribozyme, 120 nt
Filed under: Aedes aegypti (yellow fever mosquito)
Lineage: Eukaryota; Metazoa; Arthropoda; Insecta; Diptera; Culicidae
Description: drz-agam-1 ribozyme
Rfam family: drz-agam-1 ribozyme
Source: Rfam by way of RNAcentral